CCAACAUCUCAGACUCUACAGAAAAAAGACUGAACAAGUAUGGUUUGUUUGCAAGGUUUGCUAGGAGAAAGCUUUUUCUCUCUAAAAAAAAAUAAAAAUGGCAGCAUGGCUUAGGUUUGCAAAGAUGCAUCUAAACAAGCCACAAAAAUUUUGGAACAAUGUCCUUUGGACAGACGAGACCAGAGUGGAGAUGUUUGUCCAUAAUGCACAGAGCCACGUUUGGCCAAAACCAAACACAGCAUAGCAAUACAAACACCUCAUACCAACUGUCAAGCACGGUGGUGGAGGGGUGAUGAUUUGGACUUGCUUUGCAGCCAUAGGACCUGGGAACCUUGUAGUCAUUGGGUAGAUCAUGAACUCCUCUGUAUACCAAAGUAUUCUAGAAUCAAAUGUGAGGCCAUCUGUUCAACAGCUAAACUUUGUCUGAAAUUGGGUUAUGCAACAGGACAAUGAUAUCAAACACACCAGCAAAUCUGCAACAGAAUGUCUGAAAAAGAAAAGAAAAAAGGUAUUGCAAUGGCCCAGUCAACGUCCAGACAAUUGAAAUGCUGUGGCGGGACCUUAAGAGAGUUGUGUAUAAACAAAUACCAGCAAACCUCAAUGAACUGAAGCAACGUUGUAAAGAAGAGUGGGACACAAUUCAUUCUCAACGAUGUUAGAUACCGAUAAAGUCAUUCAGAAAUCAGUUAUUCAAGUUCUUGCUCCUAAAGGUGGUUCUACAUUCUAUUGAAUCAUAAAGUGUACUUAGUUUUUCACACAUGGCUUCUCCAUUUUGGCUUUA
Molecule: non-coding RNA, 781 nt
Organism: Pelobates cultripes (western spadefoot toad)
Lineage: Eukaryota; Metazoa; Chordata; Amphibia; Anura; Pelobatidae
Source: the annotation of a GenBank genome assembly